AUGGCCCGACCACCGCGGAUGGGGUCCUGGCGAGGUCCUCUGCCGCCGCGCAGGGUCACGCCGCCGCCAGUACUUGGGCAGUUCAUGGACGCAGCCAAGUUCAAUCCUUCCUUGAGGGGAUGGGAGAGAUCGCCGGCGACGGCCGCAUCGACGAGAUCUGACGUUGAUCGAGCGGCUGUUUCGGAGGCGAAUUCUCAGGAGUUUCAAAAUCGACCGGCCUCGGAGAGCGGCCCCAUGUUGCAUGCAGGGAGGGAACCGGGCCAGGAUUUUUCUUGGGCCUUUCUAAGGAGGCGCAUGAGGGCUCUCUGGGGUGGAUACCCUACUCUCACGCCGUUGAUUGUGCAAGCAGUCACAGACAAGCCGCCACCGUCCACAUCGUCAUCGGUUUCUGCCGCACAGUCCUCGACCGCCGCCGCCAAGCCUCUGCACCCCUCGCGGACGCCUUCACCAACUCCUACACCGUCUUCCUGCACCGGGGUUGCCCGCUCCUACGCGGCGGUCGCGGCGGCGCUGUUGAGCCCCAUGGCGGGCGUGCCUCCUGCGGCGCGGGCCGCCUCGGCCACGGGAGGGUCGAACCCCCCUACUACUCCGGGCGUGGGGGCGCCACCGGCUCCCUCGCGCCCUCCGGCUCAGGCGCCGGGCUUCUACGGUCCGCCACAACAGCAGCGAGGACCGGCACCAGUAUACAUCUAUGGUGGGAACCAGCCCCCUGGUUAUGCCCAGGCUGGGCAGUACCUCUCGCCGUAUGGUCCGGCCGUUGCCGGAGUGCAGGCCCCCACAUAUGGGGCUUCGCAGACCGGGUUGUCCGCUCCGCCACUGUUUCAUCCAGGGGGGUUGUGGCACAUCCGGCUCAAAAACGCAAAAAGAAGAAGCCACAACAGCAGCAGUUUGCCGAUGGAGCCUUACAACAUGGUUUUCACCCUCCUCCUCAACACAUGCCGGUUCAGCAACAGUUUCCGCAUCAACCCAUACCACAGCAGCACGUGCAGACUCACCAAGACCAAUAUCAGCAGGUUGUGCAGCCACAGAUGCCGCAGGCACUAG
This 1044-nucleotide ribosomal RNA is filed under the name Triticum aestivum (bread wheat). Its description in RNAcentral is "partial small subunit ribosomal RNA". Lineage: Eukaryota; Viridiplantae; Streptophyta; Magnoliopsida; Poales; Poaceae. The record is from RNAcentral.